Molecule: ribosomal RNA, 486 nt
Filed under: uncultured bacterium
Lineage: Bacteria
Description: bacterial SSU rRNA
Rfam family: Bacterial small subunit ribosomal RNA
Source: RNAcentral
GACGACGCUGGCGGCGUGCUUAACACAUGCAAGUCGAACGGUAAGGCCCCUUCGGGGGUACACGAGUGGCGAACGGGUGAGUAACACGUGGGUAAUCUGCCCUGCACUUCGGGGAUAAGCCUGGGAAAACUGGGUCUAAUACCGGAUAUGAGCUCCUGCCGCAUGGUGGGGGUUGGAAAGUUUUUCGGUGCAGGAUGAGCCCGCGGCCUAUCAGCUUGUUGGUGGGGUAAUGGCCUACCAAGCCUGCGAUCGGUAGCUGGUCUGAGAGGACGAUCAGCCACACUGGGACUGAGACACGGCCCAGACUCCUACGGGAGGCAGCAGUGGGGAAUCUUGCGCAAUGGACGAAAGUCUGACGCAGCCACGCCGCGUGAGUGAAGAAGGCCUUCGGGUUGUAAAGCUCUGUCGGGAGGGACAAAAACUUUAUGGGUUAAUAGCCCAUAGACUUGAUGGUACCUCCAAAGGAAGCACCGGCUAACCUUCGUG